UGGGGAAUAUUGGACAAUGGGGGCAACCCUGAUCCAGCCAUGCCGCGUGAGUGAAGAAGGCCUUAGGGUUGUAAAGCUCUUUCGCUAGGGAAGAUAAUGACGGUACCUAGUAAAGAAGCCCCGGCUAACUUCGUGCCAGCAGCCGCGGUAAUACGAAGGGGGCUAGCGUUGUUCGGAAUUACUGGGCGUAAAGCGCGCGUAGGCGGAUAGAUCAGUCAGGGGUGAAAUCCCGGGGCUCAACCCCGGAACUGCCUUUGAUACUGUCUAUCUAGAGAUCGAGAGAGGUGAGUGGAAUUCCGAGUGUAGAGGUGAAAUUCGUAGAUAUUCGGAGGAACACCAGUGGCGAAGGCGGCUCACUGGCUCGAUACUGACGCUGAGGUGCGAAAGCGUGGGGAGCAAACAGGAUUAGAUACCCCUGUAGUCC
This 424-nucleotide ribosomal RNA is filed under the name uncultured prokaryote. Its description in RNAcentral is "bacterial SSU rRNA". It matches the Rfam family "Bacterial small subunit ribosomal RNA", at positions 355 to 796 of the family's 1533-position model. The record is from RNAcentral.